CUAGGGUUAUGGCUCAGUGGUACAGUACUUGCCUAGCAUGUAUGCAUGAGGCGCUGCGUUCGAUCCCCAGCACUAUAUA
This 79-nucleotide transfer RNA is filed under the name Marmota monax (woodchuck). RNAcentral describes it as "tRNA.Ala". Lineage: Eukaryota; Metazoa; Chordata; Mammalia; Rodentia; Sciuridae. The record is from RNAcentral.